Long non-coding RNA from Gigantopelta aegis, 1109 nucleotides. RefSeq lists it as uncharacterized. The transcript is spliced from 3 exons. NCBI's taxonomy places the organism in Eukaryota, Metazoa, Mollusca, Gastropoda, Neomphalida, Peltospiridae. The record is from RefSeq and is a predicted model, not a curated record.
GUCUAUCACGAGGUACCACGUGAUAUCACAGGUUAUUUGUAGAUCCCUAGGAAUAUCGUCACUUUCUUCUUCCGUUAGUUAGUGUGAACGAUUAGGCGUCAAUUUGCAGACGAUAUUCAAAGAACACUGGUCGAUUUAUUGUGAUUGCCUUCUAGAGAACCAGAAUGAGUGGCACCUCGGGCACAGUUUCAACAGGAAGUGACGCCGGUGUUGACAUUUCCGGAAGCUGGACUAAGUCGAGUUCCGGCACUGAAUCAAACGGGAGCACGUGGUCGCAGAGUGAAUCGGCCAGCAUACACAUUGUGAUUAAAAGAUGCGAUACUCCGCCUAUAUGUGAAAGGUUUCCUCGGUAACGAGAUAUGACGUCAUAACAUCAAAUCAAAGGGACAUAUCAGUGCAUUUCAACAGGAUUCAAAUUUUGUUGUGAUUCAACUUUUGUUACACAUUUACAACUGGAUAAGAAUACUAUUUUCACAUUUGAUGUAUCACGAAACCGUAAAUGCCAAAUAAAUAAAUAAAACAGUUGGUGAGCGUCAACAAAACGGGGUGGUGUAAAGUCCCAACCAAGACGUUUUUAUCAUUUUCCCUCAAAUAUUCCAUCUCAAAACUAUUUCUUGAAAUACUGAAGAAAGCUUUUCUGUGGUGGAAGGAUGGGACAUAUCUCAGUGGUAAAGCGCUCGCCUGAUGCGCGGUCGGUCUAGGAUCGAUCCCCGUCAGUGGGCCCAUUGGCUAUUUCUCAUUGUAUCCAGGGCACCACUACUCUUAUGUCACAAUUACCAAAUGUCUGACAUCCAUUAGCCGCUGAUAUUUAAAUCAAUGUUCUCUAGUGGUGUUGUUAAACAAAACAGACUUCAACUUUACUGUGGGAAAACCCUUGUCUUGCUGAAUAUAUUCAAAUUGAUUUAAAAAUAAACAUAAAAACCUGUCGCCCACUAACAUUUACCCCCCCCCCCCCCCCCCCUCCCAAAAAAAAGACAAAAAGUGACGCUCACCUACUAACUUUUGUUAUGUAGCUUUAUAAUUAAUUUACUUGAAAUUUCUUUGUGAGAACUUGCCCAUGUAUCUGCCAACUUAAACAAUAAAUUUAAUUAGCUUCCUGGCAUGUUUAA